CAGCCGCCGCGGGAAUACGUAGGGUGCAAGCGUUAAUCGGAAUUACUGGGCGUAAAGCGUGCGCAGGCGGUUAUAUAAGUCAGAUGUGAAAUCCCCGGGCUCAACCUGGGAACUGCAUUUGAGACUGUAUGGCUAGAGUGUGUCAGAGGGGGGUAGAAUUCCACGUGUAGCAGUGAAAUGCGUAGAUAUGUGGAGGAAUACCGAUGGCGAAGGCAGCCCCCUGGGAUAACACUGACGCUCAUGCACGAAAGCGUGGGGAGCAAACAGGAUUAGAUACCCCUGUAGUCCCUGUCUCUUAUAC
This 301-nucleotide ribosomal RNA is filed under the name uncultured bacterium. RNAcentral describes it as "partial 16S ribosomal RNA". It matches the Rfam family "Bacterial small subunit ribosomal RNA", at positions 509 to 807 of the family's 1533-position model. The record is from RNAcentral.